RNAcentral lists this unclassified non-coding RNA (17 nucleotides) under Mus musculus (house mouse). RNAcentral describes it as "oocyte_clustered_small_RNA12943". Lineage: Eukaryota; Metazoa; Chordata; Mammalia; Rodentia; Muridae. The record is from RNAcentral.
CUGAAUCAGUUGUGGGG